This 255-nucleotide ribosomal RNA is filed under the name uncultured bacterium. RNAcentral's name for it is "partial 16S ribosomal RNA". It matches the Rfam family "Bacterial small subunit ribosomal RNA", at positions 524 to 776 of the family's 1533-position model. The record is from RNAcentral.
UACGUAGGGGGCGAGCGUUGUCCGGAUUUAUUGGGCGUAAAGAGCUCGUAGGCGGUUCGAUAAGUCAGGUGUAAAAACUCCAGGCCCAACUUGGAGAGGCCACCUGAUACUGUCGUGACUAGAGUCCGGUAGAGGAGCACGGAAUUCCUGGUGUAGCGGUGAAAUGACGCAGAUAUCAGGAGGAACACCGGUGGCGAAGGCGGGUCUCUGGGCAAUAACUGACGCUGAGGAGCGAAAGCGUGGGGAGCGAACAGG